GCAUUGAUAGUUCAGUGGUAGAAUUCUUAUCUUCCAUGUAGGAGACCUGGGUUUGAUUCCCGGCCAACAUA
This 71-nucleotide transfer RNA is filed under the name Loxodonta africana (African savanna elephant). It matches the Rfam family "tRNA". From Rfam's summary of the family: Transfer RNA (tRNA) molecules are approximately 80 nucleotides in length. Their secondary structure includes four short double-helical elements and three loops (D, anti-codon, and T loops). Lineage: Eukaryota; Metazoa; Chordata; Mammalia; Proboscidea; Elephantidae. The record is from Rfam by way of RNAcentral.